Molecule: ribosomal RNA, 403 nt
Filed under: uncultured bacterium
Lineage: Bacteria
Description: partial 16S ribosomal RNA
Rfam family: Bacterial small subunit ribosomal RNA
Source: RNAcentral
GACGAACGCUGGCGGCGUGCCUAAUACAUGCAAGUCGAACGCAGUGGGGACGGGUGAGUAACACGUGGGUUACCUCCCAUCAGAGGGGAUAACACUUGGAAACAGGUGCUAAACCGAUACUGAUGGAUGAACCCGCGGUGCAUUAGCUAGUUGGUGAGGUAACGGCUCACCAAGGCCAAGAUGCAUAGACGACCUGCGAGGGUGAUAGGAAACACUGGGACGGAGACACGGCCCAGACUCGUACGGGAGGCAGGAGUAGAGAAACUUCGGCAAUGGAGGAAGGUCUGACCGAGCAACGACGCGAAAGUGAAGGAGGUUUUCGAAUCAGAAAACUCUGUUGUUAGAGAAGCGGUAUCUAACCGGAAAGCCACGGCUAACUACGUGCCAGCAGGCGCGGUAAUAC